Molecule: ribosomal RNA, 774 nt
Filed under: uncultured Neocallimastigales
Lineage: Eukaryota; Fungi; Neocallimastigomycota; Neocallimastigomycetes; Neocallimastigales
Description: partial large subunit ribosomal RNA
Rfam family: Eukaryotic large subunit ribosomal RNA
Source: RNAcentral
UAGAUGCGAGAGUAGAGCAUAUCAAUAAGCGGAGGAAAAGAAACUAACUAGGAUUCCCUUAGUAACGGCGAGUGAAGCGGGAAGAGCUCAAAUUUGAAAUCUUCAAGGUUCUACCUUGACGAAUUGUAGUUUAAAGAAGUGUUUUCUGUUGGAGUUUUGGUAAAAGUUCUUUGGAAUAGGACAUCAUAGAGGGUGAGAAUCCCGUAUUUGACCAUUAUUUCCAGCUGUGUGAUACACUUUCAAAGAGUCGGAUUGUUUGGGAAUGCAGUCCAAAAUGGGUGGUAAAUUUCAUCUAAAGCUAAAUACUGGCGAGAGACCGAUAGCGAACAAGUACCGUGAGGGAAAGAUGAAAAGAACUUUGAAAAGAGAGUUAAACAGUACGUGAAAUUGUCAAAAGGGAAGCGUUUGACACCAGUGUUGUUUUCUCGAAAAUCAAUUAAAAAUGACCGGAUUUUGUGUUGUAUUGACUUUAUCAGCUUUCUGCACUUUUUUCUUGUCUUUUUUAAUGCACUUUUCGUUUAACAAGUCAACAUCAAUUUCUUUUGUUGUAAAAGGGUCAUUGGAAGGUGGCUUUCAUUUCGGUGAAAGUGUUUAUAGCCUUUGACUUCUGCAAUCGGAGAGAUUGAGGUCUGCAGCGUAGAUCCUUCGGGGUUAGAUACAUUUGUGCUAAGUUAUAGUUUUUCAUAGACAACAUGUUGACUAUGAUUAAUCAUGUAGCUUACUCGCUUAUGCUAUUUUACCUACGCUUAGGAUGUUGACGAGACUGUCGAUCUC